UACGUAGGGGGCAAGCGUUGUCCGGAUUCAUUGGGCGUAAAGAGCGUGUAGGCGGCCAGGUAGGUCGGUUGUGAAAACUGGAGGCUCAACCUUCAGACGUCGACCGAAACCAUCUGGCUAGAGUCCGGGAGAGGAGAGUGGAAUUCCUGGUGUAGCGGUGAAAUGCGCAGAUAUCGGGAAGAACACCCGUGGCGAAGGCGGCUCUCUGGGACGGUACUGACGCUGAGACGCGAAAGCGUGGGGAGCGAACAGG
Molecule: ribosomal RNA, 253 nt
Filed under: uncultured bacterium
Lineage: Bacteria
Description: partial 16S ribosomal RNA
Rfam family: Bacterial small subunit ribosomal RNA
Source: RNAcentral